This 2626-nucleotide long non-coding RNA is filed under the name Cyanistes caeruleus (blue tit). RNAcentral describes it as "lncRNA (ENSCCEG00000023951.1)". The record is from RNAcentral. Lineage: Eukaryota; Metazoa; Chordata; Aves; Passeriformes; Paridae.
UUUCAUAAAGUAUUAUAUGCAAAUGAAUUUUAAAAUUAAGGAGAUUAAGCUGUGAGUGAGUUUUGGUUUUCAACAUUUAAAGAAAGAAAGGAUUCAUCUUAAAUAUAAGGCAGUAAGUCUUAUUUAUCAUCAUUUGUGGUUCAUCAGUCAGAAAAGGUCAGAUUAUGUUCCACAGGGACAAAUUUACUCAGGGCCACACUAGUCUCAGAUCAAUCCAUGGAGGGACUGGGUGCACUAAAGCUCACUUCCCCCUGCUUUGUAGGAUCAUCAUUUUCUUCCAACUCAGCUCAGCUGCACAUAACCAGCCUUUCCCUCCAUCUCCCUUAGCUUCCCAGCCUGGCAAGAGGGUGUGGCCAGCAGUGCUCUUUGGGCUAUGUUUCCCCCUUACUGCUUCCAGCACUGCCUACCAAGACAGGAGCAGGUAGCGUAUCCAGAGCUGCUACAGCAGACUGAUUGAGAAUCAUUAGCGAGACAAAAGGGCAGAUGACAGACAUUAAUACAAGGGAAGGAAAAAUUACCUCAUGCCAUGCCCAGGAAGAGUAUAAUUAAGUUGUUUCUAAAUGGGAAAAGAAACCACUUGCAGAAGGGAAGCCUGCUGAUACCAUUCAUUGACUGCCAAGAGAACUGGAACAUCAUCGUGCAUCGCAGCUCCAAGCGCCAAGAUAGCCUUGUUACUUUGCCCAUGGAAGACAAUUACUUUGUCAUGACUGGUCCCCAGGACCACCACAAUACCUGCAGAGAGUCAGUCCUUGCCCUGUAAUGUUCAUUCUUGGUUACAUGGACUAUCAUCUAUGGGCAGAGAGCAGCUUGGUGGGGGUCACCUUGCUCCACAGGCCCUAAUCAGAUUUGUGGCCUCUGUGACUUUCAAACCCCUUGCUCAUUUAUACCUGUGUAUAAAUGUACUGUGUCCCUGGGAUGUGAAUCCUCGCAACACACUUGGGUCACCCUAUGAGAGGGACAACAGCUACCUCAAGGAGAAACAGCUUUGGAGAGAGAGUAUGAGAGAAGAGGUUCCUCUGUCCUAUCAAAGCUGCAAGUAGCUUGAAAAACAGUUCCAGUCUACUGGCAUCCCUGAGGUCUUCUCAAACCUUUUUAGACACCAGGACUGUAAGACAUGUUCUUGCUUUGCAGCCAUGGCAGGCCAGAGCAACCUCAAUGCUAUCAUGAGAAGCUGUUAUCCUUUGAUCUCUUUCCUAUUCAUACUACAGACAGUUUAAUAAUGUGUAAUAUAGUCAUGUAUUAUGUUACAAUUAAUUUUACAUAUAUAAUGUUAUAUAAAGUACAUAUGUAAAGUUACAAUUAUUUAAUCUGAAAAUAUAUUGUACUACAUAAUACAGGCAGUGUAAAGUAGAAAAUGCAAGUGGUCUUCUCUAUUCAAACAGGAGACUACCAUGGUUGCAAAGCAAGGGUCAUUCAUGCAUCUUGAAAACAUUUUCUGAGCAGUCAAUUAAGAAAAAGUGACAAAGGGUUCAGUGGUAAGUGAAGGAGUGAGCAAGCUUACAAUGUUGGUUCAGAGGAUGUAAACUACUCUGUCUUUCAAUGCAGCAAUGAGAAGCAGCAAUCCUGAAAUAUAAUUUUCCACUUAGAUCCAAGGAUGUCAACUGUUUUAUGCAACAAGCUACAUAACUGCAUUAGUUCAUAAUAUAAACUAACUCCACAUACUCAAAUCAAGUGCCUGAAUGGGCAAAAGCUAGGAAAAAACACCCUUCUUCUACAGUUUAGUGGAGGCCAUGUCAUUGGUAUUCAGCACAGUCCAACUUAGAGCAAACUCUUACCAAAAUCUUACACUCCUGCUUUAUUACAAGAGUCUGUGUAUUCCAGACCUGCAUUGUCAGGAUCAUUUCAUGAGUCACUGAAAUGCAGGCACUGCUGAAGAAAAGCAAACCCUUAACAAAGCAAUAUAUUAGCUGUAAACAGACAAGUGUGAGACUCCAAGGAGACAAAAGCAAAAGGAGUGACCAUGACACUGAAGCUCUGCUUAAAUGAAUUCACAGAAAAUUGCCUCAUUUCUCCUUUUUCCACAGCAUAAAUGAAGCAAGUUGCAAUGUUUUCCACAGUUCAGCUCCCCCAUUUGAAUAUACAGACAACACACACAACCAGGCCAGAGUCAGCAGACACAUCCAGAUCAGUCUGAUCAGUCCAUGUUCCAGGGAAAAACACGUGGAUUGAAUUCCAGGGCAGAAAGUUGGUAUAAUGUCACUCAGUUCAAGCCAGACAGUUCUCAAAACAAGGACCCUCCCUGUAGUUUCCUGUAAGAUUGCACCUCAGCUGAGCCUUUUGUGAAUACUGAAUGCUGUAGAAGCAAGAAGCCACCCUUUGCCCCACAGGUGCUGAGUGCUGGUGCUGAGUUAUCCACAGAGUGGAUCCCAUUAUGUCAGAGGGUGAUUAUCUCAUUGUUCUCUCCAUUAAGGCUACAAAUAGCACUAAUCCAUAGUGCCAACCCACGACCAUGCAGAAGUACUGGGGUCAUUUGCAUACACCUAAAUUAGAAUUCUUUUUCUUAAUGCAAUGUCUCUCUCCUAACCUCUUUCAUACUUGUGGUAGAUGGGAUUUCAGGAACUUGUAUAUGUGACAACAAUACACCAAGGAAAAUAAAACAUGAAAAGCCAUGCUUAGAUUUAUUUAU